This 1329-nucleotide ribosomal RNA is filed under the name Salmonella enterica subsp. enterica serovar Typhimurium. RNAcentral's name for it is "partial 23S ribosomal RNA". It matches the Rfam family "Bacterial large subunit ribosomal RNA", at positions 1568 to 2873 of the family's 2925-position model. Lineage: Bacteria; Pseudomonadati; Pseudomonadota; Gammaproteobacteria; Enterobacterales; Enterobacteriaceae. The record is from RNAcentral.
GACGAGGCACUACGGUGCUGAAGCAACAAAUGCCCUGCUUCCAGGAAAAGCCUCUAAGCAUCAGGUAACACGAAAUCGUACCCCAAACCGACACAGGUGGUCAGGUAGAGAAUACCAAGGCGCUUGAGAGAACUCGGGUGAAGGAACUAGGCAAAAUGGUGCCGUAACUUCGGGAGAAGGCACGCUGACACGUAGGUGAAGUGAUUUACUCAUGGAGCUGAAGUCAGUCGAAGAUACCAGCUGGCUGCAACUGUUUAUUAAAAACACAGCACUGUGCAAACACGAAAGUGGACGUAUACGGUGUGACGCCUGCCCGGUGCCGGAAGGUUAAUUGAUGGGGUCAGCGCAAGCGAAGCUCCUGAUCGAAGCCCCGGUAAACGGCGGCCGUAACUAUAACGGUCCUAAGGUAGCGAAAUUCCUUGUCGGGUAAGUUCCGACCUGCACGAAUGGCGUAAUGAUGGCCAGGCUGUCUCCACCCGAGACUCAGUGAAAUUGAACUCGCUGUGAAGAUGCAGUGUACCCGCGGCAAGACGGAAAGACCCCGUGAACCUUUACUAUAGCUUGACACUGAACAUUGAGCCUUGAUGUGUAGGAUAGGUGGGAGGCUUUGAAGUGUGGACGCCAGUCUGCAUGGAGCCGACCUUGAAAUACCACCCUUUAAUGUUUGAUGUUCUAACGUGGACCCGUAAUCCGGGUUGCGGACAGUGUCUGGUGGGUAGUUUGACUGGGGCGGUCUCCUCCUAAAGAGUAACGGAGGAGCACGAAGGUUGGCUAAUCCUGGUCGGACAUCAGGAGGUUAGUGCAAUGGCAUAAGCCAGCUUGACUGCGAGCGUGACGGCGCGAGCAGGUGCGAAAGCAGGUCAUAGUGAUCCGGUGGUUCUGAAUGGAAGGGCCAUCGCUCAACGGAUAAAAGGUACUCCGGGGAUAACAGGCUGAUACCGCCCAAGAGUUCAUAUCGACGGCGGUGUUUGGCACCUCGAUGUCGGCUCAUCACAUCCUGGGGCUGAAGUAGGUCCCAAGGGUAUGGCUGUUCGCCAUUUAAAGUGGUACGCGAGCUGGGUUUAGAACGUCGUGAGACAGUUCGGUCCCUAUCUGCCGUGGGCGCUGGAGAACUGAGGGGGGCUGCUCCUAGUACGAGAGGACCGGAGUGGACGCAUCACUGGUGUUCGGGUUGUCAUGCCAAUGGCACUGCCCGGUAGCUAAAUGCGGAAGAGAUAAGUGCUGAAAGCAUCUAAGCACGAAACUUGCCCCGAGAUGAGUUCUCCCUGAGACUUAGAGUCUCCUGAAGGAACGUUGAAGACGACGACGUUGAUAGGCCGGGUGUGUAAG